AUGAACGCUGGCGGCGUGCCUCAUACAUGCCAGUCGCGCGAACAGACGAGGAGCUUGCUCCUCUGACGUUAGCGGCGGACGGGUGAGUAACACGUGGAUAACCUACCUAUAAGACUGGGAUAACUUCGGGAAGCCGGAGCUAAUACCGGAUAAUAUAUUGAACCGCAUGGUUCAAUAGUGAAAGACGGUUUUGCUGUCACUUAUAGAUGGAUCCGCGCCGCAUUAGCUAGUUGGUAAGGUAACGGCUUACCAAGGCAACGAUGCGUAGCCGACCUGAGAGGGUGAUCGGCCACACUGGAACUGAGACACGGUCCAGACUCCUACGGGAGGCAGCAGUAGGGAAUCUUCCGCAAUGGGCGAAAGCUUGACGGAGCAACGCCGCGUGAGUGAUGAAGGUCUUCGGAUCGUAAAACUCUGUUAUUAGGGAAGAACAAAUGUGUAAGUAACUAUGCACGUCUUGACGGUACCUAAUCAGAAAGCCACGGCUAACUACGUG
Molecule: ribosomal RNA, 496 nt
Filed under: uncultured bacterium
Lineage: Bacteria
Description: partial 16S ribosomal RNA
Rfam family: Bacterial small subunit ribosomal RNA
Source: RNAcentral